UCACAAGCAUCUCUGGAACACUUGUGCCACAAGCAUCUCUGGAACACUUGUGAGCGGCACAAGGCUCACCAUCAAAGGGCUCAGCAAAAUGAAUGACUGACCAGCAAGGCACCGGCCCCUGGAGGGAGAAGGAUGAUCUCUGCCUUCAUGCCUUCCAAGUGCUCAUGGUCUCAAGAAACUCAUGUGGGCACAUAAUGGUAAAGCAACAUGGCAGGAUUACAUUGGAAACAGCCACAGAAAUAUCAUGCUAUGCCUAACCCUGCCUGGCCUUUGGGGAAGGCUUUGCAGUGGCUGAGGCUGGAAAUAUGAAAAGGGAGGGCACUCCAGACCAAAGACCGACAUGGGUAAAGGCAAUGAAGCAAGAAUUUGCAAGAUCCGCUGAGGGCAAGGACAGGGCCCCCAAGUCAGGGCAUCCUCCACUGUCAGUGACUCUCAAGAUGGUGACAGCGCCAUGGCAGCAUGUCGUUUUUUCUUGAGUUGAAGAACGCAAACAUCCGUAAUCAAUCAUCACUGAUUAACUAAUUAUAUUACCCUUCCUUUUAUCACGAGGGUUGGACCUUUAUCUGUAAACACUAUGGAUGGUCUGUAUGCUCUUAUUUUUCUGGAAGCAUAUUCCAGUACACACAGAGUCGUGCAGUUACAGGCUGCAAACAGAAUAGCGACAUUAUCGUCCACCUUUAAGCACUACUGCUUUAUUUUUUAUUUUUUAUUUUUUUUUAAACAAAAGCAAUUGGUUUCCAACAGGCUGGAUAAUAAGUCUUUUGACCUGCAUUCUUCUUUGACCCAUUAAGGUCACCCCUGUGCUCGGGCAUAUAGCUGACUUAGGAAAUGCCUGCGAGUCCUACAUUUCAUCUCCUGCCCACUCAAAAUAAAGCUUUCUUUAAAUGUGUCUGUACGGGUCCCUGAAGGCCAAAGAGGCAUCCCUGUAGUGGGCAAUGGAGGGACAGAAGCUUCUGCCUUUAUUAAUGAAUGCAGACCAUUAUGAGUCUGGCUGGCUCCUUCCCUGUUCCCAGAAGCAUAUACUGUACGUGACUUAAAAUGCUAGAAUAUUGACACAAAGCGAGCCGGGCACCCCUAAGGAAAAUUACUCCUUGGAUAUAAUGUAGGCUCGUAACAGCUAUUAGAGUACAAAAUAAAACCCUCCGGGAUCAAACUGACAUAUACCGCAUUCUACCUAGUCCUCAAACAUUAGAAGAAUUUCUUUGUGAAGGCUUUCUCAAGGACAGCAUUAAACUGACUUUUGUAGCAAUCUGCAACAGCUUUUUGGCUUAGAGCUUUUAGUACUAAAUCUCUGGUUUGAAUCAAUAUAAGUACUAUAUCUUCUACAUUAAUCAAUACAUUUGGUUCAAUACAUGUUCUAUUAAAUUAUACUUUCU
This 1376-nucleotide long non-coding RNA is filed under the name Sus scrofa (pig). RNAcentral describes it as "lncRNA (ENSSSCG00055001213.1, ENSSSCG00060073423.1)". Lineage: Eukaryota; Metazoa; Chordata; Mammalia; Artiodactyla; Suidae. The record is from RNAcentral.